This is a small nuclear RNA of 113 nucleotides. Its record names the gene U5. It matches the Rfam family "U5 spliceosomal RNA". Rfam says of the family: U5 RNA is a component of both types of known spliceosome. The precise function of this molecule is unknown, though it is known that the 5' loop is required for splice site selection and p220 binding, and that both the 3' stem-loop and the Sm site are important for Sm protein binding and cap methylation. The record is from Ensembl.
UAAUAUGGCUUCUCUUAACCUAAGAUUUUUUCGCCUUUUACUAAAGAAUUCCGUGGAGAGAAGCAGUUCAAUGAGUCUUACUAUCUUUUUUUGCAUCUGAUUUAGGUCGAGUU